This is an RNA transcript of Phragmites australis (common reed), 1474 nucleotides long. It is a transcript of the gene named ubiquinol oxidase 1a, mitochondrial-like, with no coding region annotated. The transcript is spliced from 5 exons. Lineage: Eukaryota; Viridiplantae; Streptophyta; Magnoliopsida; Poales; Poaceae. The record is from RefSeq and is a predicted model, not a curated record.
AACCACCACGUCAACACAAGCGGCCCUCCACGACUCCCAAAAAUUUUUUAUUCGUGAAGGCUUUUCGGCGACCAUCACAGGCGAUGAGCUCCCGGAUGGCCGGAUCCAUCGUCCUCCGCCACGUCGGCCUCCGCAACUUCACCGCAGCGUCGAUCUCUCCGGUGGCGGCGAGGCCACUGCUCGCCAGCGGCGACGGCGUCCCGGCGGUUAUGGUGCGUCUGUUGUCCACGUCCCCCGCCUCGGAGGCGGCGGCGAAGGCGGCCAAGGAGGGAGGGGAGAAGAAGGAGGUGGCGAUCAACAGCUACUGGGGGAUCGUGCAGUCGAACAAGCUGCUGCGGGAGGACGGCGCCGAGUGGAAGUGGACUUGCUUUAGGCCAUGGGAGACGUACACGGCGGACACGUCGAUCGAUCUGACGAGGCACCACGUGCCCAAGACGCUGCUGGACAAGAUCGCCUACUGGACCGUCAAGUCGCUGCGCUUCCCCACCGACAUCUUCUUCCAGAGGAGGUAUGGCUGCCGGGCGAUGAUGCUGGAGACCGUGGCCGCGGUGCCGGGAAUGGUGGGUGGCAUGCUCCUCCACCUGCGCUCGCUCCGCCGCUUCGAGCAGAGCGGCGGCUGGAUCCGCGCGCUGCUGGAGGAGGCCGAGAACGAGCGCAUGCACCUCAUGACCUUCAUGGAGGUGGCGAAGCCGAGGUGGUACGAGCGCGCGCUUGUCCUCGCUGUCCAGGGCGUCUUCUUCAACGCCUACUUCCUCGGCUACCUCUUCUCCCCCAAGUUCGCGCACCGCGUCGUCGGCUACCUCGAGGAGGAGGCAAUCCACUCCUACACCGAGUACCUCAGGGACCUGGAGGCCGGCAAGAUCGACAACGUCUCUGCCCCGGCCAUCGCCAUCGACUACUGGCGUCUCCCCGCCAACGCCACGCUCAAGGACGUCGUCACGGUGGUGCGCGCUGACGAGGCUCACCACCGCGACGUCAACCACUUCGCAUCGGACAUCCAUUACCAGGGCAUGCAGUUGAAGGAGUCCCCUGCGCCGAUCGGAUAUCACUGAGGCUAUUAGUGCUCUGCUGAAGUUUGCAUCGCUAAUAAAAAAAAAAUGAGUGUCUCGUUCUGAAGGGAAAGCAAACGAGAGCUGGUUAUAUGUGAUUUGGUAAUGGGGUCGUCGCUAUCGUCUCUUCCCCUAUACUGCAACCGAGGAAUGAUUGUGCAGGCUCUGAUUCUUCUUGAUUUGUUUGUUAACUGUUGCUUCACGAUACACAGUGGCACCCCUGAAGUUGUUCUGUUCUUGAUGGCAGCUGAAUAGGGCUCUCUAAUCUGAGAUGUACAAUAGUAGAAUUUCUGCACUCGAUGUCUCUAUACACUUCUGCUAGUCGUUUACUCUGUAUCUUGCUUGGAUCACUGAUGACUGAUUAUGCUAACUGACUGCAUUUGCUGCUCUUUAGCACCCCGUUAUACAGCUCUCCGUUUCUUGUC